AGAAUGAACGCUGGCGGCGUGCUUUACACAUGCAAGUCGAGCGAGGCGGGGUAGCAAUACCCCAGUCGAGCGGCGGACGGGUGAGUAACGCGUGGAUGAUCUACCUUUUGGUGGGGGAUAACCCGGGGAAACUCGAGCUAAUACCGCAUGAGAUCGAAAGAUGAAAGGGGCGCAAGUCCCGCCGGAAGAGGAGUCCGCGUCCGAUUAGCUAGUUGGUAGGGUAAUGGCCUACCAAGGCGACGAUCGGUAGCCGGCCUGAGAGGGUGAUCGGCCACACUGGAACUGAGACACGGUCCAGACUCCUACGGGAGCAGCAGUGGGGAAUUUGCGCAAUGGGCGAAAGCCUGACGCAGCAACGCCGCGUGGAGGAUGGAAGGU
This 378-nucleotide ribosomal RNA is filed under the name uncultured soil bacterium. RNAcentral's name for it is "bacterial SSU rRNA". It matches the Rfam family "Bacterial small subunit ribosomal RNA", at positions 26 to 416 of the family's 1533-position model. The record is from RNAcentral.